Molecule: transfer RNA, 68 nt
Filed under: Distenia punctulatoides
Lineage: Eukaryota; Metazoa; Arthropoda; Insecta; Coleoptera; Cerambycidae
Description: tRNA-Leu
Source: RNAcentral
GUUGUUUUGGCAGAUUAGUGCGUUAAAUUUAGAAUUUAUUUAUGUAAUUUAUUUUACAGUCAACAGUU